UGCUGUUAGUGAUGACUUACUUAGUUAAAAAGAUGGGAAUCUCUCUGAAAGAGAAUGAAGAUUAAUUCAAAGCUGAAACAGUA
This is a small nucleolar RNA of Jaculus jaculus (lesser Egyptian jerboa), 83 nucleotides long. RefSeq annotates it as small nucleolar RNA SNORD79. The transcript has a single exon. Lineage: Eukaryota; Metazoa; Chordata; Mammalia; Rodentia; Dipodidae. The record is from RefSeq and is a predicted model, not a curated record.